Long non-coding RNA from Oncorhynchus tshawytscha (Chinook salmon), 2114 nucleotides. RefSeq lists it as uncharacterized. The transcript is spliced from 2 exons. The record is from RefSeq and is a predicted model, not a curated record. Lineage: Eukaryota; Metazoa; Chordata; Actinopteri; Salmoniformes; Salmonidae.
AUAAUAUUUCCCAUGUAGGAAACAGAGCCGGCUUUUCGGGGUGGGAGAGUGGGACAACACGUAGCUAUGUGUAUGGGAAACAUUUCAUCACAGGUGGGAGGGGCAGCGACGUUCUGUUUAAUACAGACAUCAUGAUGCACCUCCUCCACAAAAACGGUGUGAUGUUUGCAGCAAUAACCACUUCUGUUGGAGCAGUCUCUCUAAAUGAGUGAUAUAGGCAUCUGAAAUGUUAUUCAGACCUCAUAUCCUACCACUGCAUUUACUUUUCUGUACAAAAACCUCAUGCUGGAAGUAUUGUCAAUAUUAAAAUCUAUUGUACGCCCCCAAUAUUCUAGGAGAGCUGCAGCUGGCAGGGUGAUAUUUGGUAUAGCUACUCUAGCCUGGUUCUAUAUCUGUUUGUGUUGUCUUGCCAACUCCUACACUCUUAGAAAAAAAGGGUUCUUCAGCUGUCCACAUUGGAGAAUCCUACAUAGAACCCAAAAUAGUUCUACCUGGAACUAAAAAGUUUUCUUCAAAGGGUUCUCCUACGAGGACAGUCGAAAAACCCUUUAAGGUUCUAGAUAUAACCUUUUUAUCUAAGAGUGUGUGAUGACUUCAUGACCACAGGUGUUGGCAAGAUAGCACAAACAGAUCUGGGACCAGGCUAGAGCUGCUCUGGGUCAGGGUUUUAUCGGUUUUCUCCGAGGCAUCCAUGAGUCAACACGCCUGACUACAGAGAGUAUCUAACCCUAGCGGGUCAUCAUGGCAGCGCUCUGCUGGCUCUAUUACAAUAUUGGGUCUGACUCACGAUGUGGUCACCAUAACAUCACUCAAAACAGUGCAGGAGUUGUCCAAGAGAGAAAACAGUCAGGAGGAGUUGGUGUAUUGUCCUAAAGGGGGCUAUUUGUCAGGCCUGUUGUGACACACUGUUCAGCUGCCUGCCUAUACAGACAUCACUUAAAAACGUUAUCUUGUUUUUCCACUUUCUUUUGUCAUGUAAUGGUCACAACUCGUGGUUUCUUGCAAAUGUCGUUUUUUAUUUCUUAUUUUUCUGUCCUAAAAAAUGACCAAUUACUUUUUGCACCAUAGUCUAUAAAUUGCACUUAAAUACCACCUUCUCAUUGCACACCUACAAACACUACUUUGGAGGACACUGACUGCAAACUAAAUAUCCCUUAGUUAAUCACCUCAACAAGUUUUAAGUGGUAUUCCUUGGUGUGGGGGGGGGACAAAGUAUUUACGGUUCCAAACUGUGAUCUGGGGGAAAGUGAGUAAGGGGUCGUGUUGCUGCCCGGCUGAGGAGCAGUAAAAAUAACCUUGGCUUGUGGUGUCCCAGUUUAUGAGUGGGCACCGGGUCUUCUGCAGGUCACCAUUGUUGGUGCAGCUGAGCUAGUGCCAGAGCCAGCAGGGUCUGCCGGUGGUUCGAUGUGUCAGAGGUUGUUUGUAAAGCAAGCCAAACAGGCCUUUUGAUGGCUAACACCAGAGAAUCUGGAAGCCAUUUGCUUUUCCGCACUCUGUGUGAGCAUCCCAAACAGCACCCUAUUCCCUUUAUAGUGCACUACUUUUUAUCAGGGUCCAUCAAAAGUAGUGCACUAUAUAGGGAAUAGGGUGCCAUUUGGGGCCGCAACCAGAGAAAGUGGAGGGCUUGAUCACCUCCAGCAUCUGCUGCCUGUUUAUUUACCCAGCUCACUUAACCCUUUAAACAAACUAACCAGGGCUCACCGUUGUGCCACUCUUAGAUUGGCCUCUGAGGACAGAAUCUGUCACAGGGGCUUUAGACUAAUACCUAUAGAGAGACAUAACAUAUACCUUGUUAUAAGACAUUGUAAUGUUGUGAAGUUAUACAUAACUUAUAAAGCAUCAUACUUGGAUGCUUUAAGUAAAGUGUUAUUAUUUUUAAGAGGAGAUGGAGUUUAGAACCCCCUUGUCAAUGAUCCUAGGCCUACAUUAGUUUGAUUACAUGAUAUUAAACUGUAAUAUGUAUACUUGGGCCUACAUAAUAAACAAUUUGUUGUGGUUUAAGAUUGCUUGCUUUCUAGCAGUUUUGGUAAGUGCACUUACCUUUCUAUAUCUUAUGUAGGUCCUUGUUGACCAAAACCUAACAUUUUUAUAUAAAGGAUUUGAUUUGAGUGCCA